RNAcentral lists this small RNA (460 nucleotides) under Malus domestica (apple). Lineage: Eukaryota; Viridiplantae; Streptophyta; Magnoliopsida; Rosales; Rosaceae. The record is from RNAcentral.
GGCCUUUUGGAAACUCAUUGGCUUUGGAUUCCAUCGGAACUCCGAAAUUAAGCGAGUUCGGGUGAGAGCAAUCCUAGGAUAGGUGGCCCAUUGGGAAGUUCUCGUCUAAGUUCCUAGAAACAAAACCAUAAGGGCAUGGCCAGGUCCCAAGGCGGACAAUAUCGUGCUACGGCGGACUCGAGACUGGGAUGUGAUAGAAUGGUAUCAGAGCCACUUUGUUGUUCGGUGCGAGUGUGCCAACAAGGACGUCGGACCGCUAAGGGGAGUAGAUUGUAAUAUCUCACAUCGAUCAACGGAGAGGGGGUUAUGUGCCUUAUAUGUACAUGUCCACCUCCUAUAGGACGAGACUUUUUGGGAACUCAUUGGCUUCGGAUUCCAUCAGAACUCCGAAGUUAAGCAAUUUCGGGCGAGAGUAAUCCUAGGAUGGGUGAUCCACUGGGAAGUUCUCGUCUGAGUUACU